Non-coding RNA from Triticum aestivum (bread wheat), 134 nucleotides. The record is from Rfam. NCBI's taxonomy places the organism in Eukaryota, Viridiplantae, Streptophyta, Magnoliopsida, Poales, Poaceae.
UUUGUACUCCCUCCGUCCCAAAAUUCUUGACUUAAACCUGUCUAAAUACGGAUGUAUCUAGUUACAUUUUAGUGUUACAUACAUCCAUAUCUAAACAAAUGUAAGACAAGAAUUUGGGACAGAGGGAAUACCAC